GCUGAAGGGAGUGGUCUCAGUGGGAGGAGCUGAAUGAGCCCGGAGCGAGGAGCGGCGUGCAGAGAGCGUGGUGGCGUCCACGGUUCUGAGCGUGAGGAGCCGCGCGUGUUGGCUAGACCCGAUGUAUGUGCACCAAAGGAGCUCUAGGUCAAAUUUGCCAUGGAUUGGAUGUCACCUGCUCAUCAGGCUUUGGAAGAUGAAUUAUGUUAAUGGAUUUUUUAAAAAUAUGAACUUCUUUUGAAGUAUUAAACAUACAGAAAAAUGCACAGAUGGUAAGUAUAAUUGGGUGACUUGUCAUUAAAAAACAUAGCUGUUUAACUAGAAUCCAUGAGAUGAAAUAUUAACAGAACCACAGAAGUUCCCUCAUGAUCCUUUGGAUUUUCUUUUAAUAUCACAAAUAUCAAGACCUUACUCUCUUCUCUUUCCCUGAAAUGGAUCGGUGUAAAUAACCAAGAAGAUAUUGUUGAUGUGGUGAAAACCAGCCCUUUUGUGCUCAGGGCAUUUUCAUCAAUGACCAUGAACCUGGAUUAUGGACCCUCACAAAUAUGAAGAAACUCUCAAGGAAUCACGCCAGGAAAGGAGGCUUGGCCACAAAGAACAUCUCGACUAUUCAAAAGAUAAAAAUCUGAACCAGCCAAAAGAAGAUAUGUAUUGGGCAGAAUCUGGGACUGAGAAGACUCCAAGCUUGAAGCUUGCAUGUCCUCAAGGAAGUGUUACUCUCCUGGUGGCUGUACACACAUGGAGUGUGGUCAGUUCCAGAGAUGGAGUAUGAGUAAAACACAAGUGAGUUUUGUUGCCUCUUCCCGUCCUCCUGAGAUGCAGAGAGAAAAACAAGAAAGAUCUUCGUUGACUUGGGAGGUGGGCAUUCAAGUUUCUUAACCUUUUCAGAUAUGGUGAGCACUCGCUGUCAGAAGAGAGGUGGGGACAGAUUUGUUUCCGAAAUGCAC
This 947-nucleotide long non-coding RNA is filed under the name Mustela putorius furo (domestic ferret). RNAcentral's name for it is "lncRNA (ENSMPUG00000024233.1)". The record is from RNAcentral. Lineage: Eukaryota; Metazoa; Chordata; Mammalia; Carnivora; Mustelidae.